GGCAAUGGCUUGCACGGGUACGGGGAUAAGGGUUCGAUUCCGGAGAGGGAGCCUGAGAAACGGCUACCACAUCCAAGGAAGGCAGCAGGCGCGCAAAUUACCCAAUCCCGACACGGGGAGGUAGUGACAAUAUGUAACAAUAUACGGCUUUAUCGUCCUUUAAUUUGGAUGAGUUCAAUUUUAAUUCCUUUACCAGGGACCAUUGGGGGGGCAGGCUGGGGCCCCCCACCCCGGGAAAUUCCGCUCCCAAAACGUAUAUUUAAAUUUUUUCCAUUUAAAAACUCCGAAUUUGAACCUGGAACCGGGCCGGGGGGCCCCCCCCACGGGUGGACUGGCUUGGCGGGGCUUUUCCCUUGGGGAACCGGUGUUUCCGCCGCAGGGAACCCGGGACCUUACCUUGAAAAAAUUUAAGUGGUCCAAACAGGGUUCAACCCCGGAUAAAUUUACAUGGGAUUAUUAAAUAAGACCUGCGGGUCCAUUUUGGUGGGUUUUGGAAUCCCCCUAAAGAAUAAUAAGGAAAGUCCGGGGCCAUUAGACUCCCUUGCUAGAGGUGAAUUCUUGGAUUUUGUGAGAACUACUUCUGCGAAAGCAUUUGCCAAGGAUGUUUUCAUUAUCUAGCACGAAUCGUAAGGGUAUCGAAACGAUAGAUACGAUGUAGUCUACAGUAAACUAUGCGACUAGGGAUCGGUCGAUGUAUCUUUAUGACUCGAUCGGCACUACGGGAAACUAAGUGUUUGGUUC
This 741-nucleotide ribosomal RNA is filed under the name Glomeraceae sp. RNAcentral's name for it is "partial small subunit ribosomal RNA". It matches the Rfam family "Eukaryotic small subunit ribosomal RNA", at positions 342 to 1114 of the family's 1831-position model. The record is from RNAcentral. Lineage: Eukaryota; Fungi; Glomeromycota; Glomeromycetes; Glomerales; Glomeraceae.